Molecule: non-coding RNA, 24 nt
Filed under: Arabidopsis thaliana (thale cress)
Lineage: Eukaryota; Viridiplantae; Streptophyta; Magnoliopsida; Brassicales; Brassicaceae
Source: RNAcentral
AGACGUUGACAAUUCAGUAGGGAC